Molecule: long non-coding RNA, 1816 nt
Filed under: Haliotis rufescens (red abalone)
Lineage: Eukaryota; Metazoa; Mollusca; Gastropoda; Lepetellida; Haliotidae
Description: uncharacterized LOC124110748
Source: RNAcentral
AUGUAUAUUAGUUCCCAUUUAUAACCAUUUUAUCCACUUGAAUUACGAGAAAAACGAAAUAAAAAUAUAUAAAAAAUAAAAGUGCUUUCGUAAACUAGCGCUUCCUAUAAAAUGCGCUGCCGCAGGCUAUAAUUAGUAAACAAAUACUCAAACCUCUCAACACCGCAGGGCGUAUUCAAUGACAUUACUUGUAGAGAUGACAGCUCACUGGGAGGAGCUUCUGCACACUCGAUGACCCCUGACGUCACAGGGCAUUGUUUCGCCGGUGUGACUGGCAACAAAAUACUACAAAUUACGUCAUAGGGUAUGAUCACGUGUUUGAAAAGUUUGUGGUACUGUAUUCUAAAGGUAGGCCAAUAUUUUUAUUAAUAGUAAUGAAGAGGUAAGUGUGCAAUAUAUUUCUAUGCGUUACUCAAAUUUAUUGAAAUUAUUACCAAUAGUAACACUAACAUUAACAGAUGUGUUUGAUAAUACAUAUUCUGUGAAACAUACAUGAGAAAUCUUUUCAAUAAAUGAGAUACUGAAAUUAGCAAAAUGAAAUUAUUUCCUUUCAGACUGGAGAUUUGAAGUCUAUUGAGAAGAGACAUCAACUUUUGAAUUCCAAUCAUGUCCUGGCUUGCAGUGUUGUCAUUGAUCACCAUGCCUACUUCAGUGGUCUAGUCAGUGCUGCUAUGAAGAAAAAGGUAUCUUACAGUCUUUGCAUCAUAAUAGCAGAAUGUGGUGAAGUGGUGAACACACACGGUGAGUGCCCAGCUGGUAAAGGCCCCCAUGGAACCUGCAAACACCUCGCUUCCGUCCUCCUCAUGUUGUCUCAGUUCAAGUCUACAGGUGUGAUUGCUGUGAGGCGAUCCUGCACAGACAGACUGCAGACAUUCCACAGGCCACAAAAGGAAUAUUCAGAUUCACCGAAGAAAGCAGACUCAUUCAAGUGUGGGGCGAAGCGACCAACCAUGUUUGAUGACCCAAGACCGGCAAAAUACAGAAAUAGUGCAUCUUACAGGGACCAUGUCAGAACAUCACCAUCAACUACUGCUCUUCAACGUCUAAGGAUAUCACGAUCAGAUACCUGUUUGAAAGAGCCAGUCUGUCAUCUGCAGUAAGAGAUCAUGACUAUUUGGACAAGCCCUUCACAGGAUACUGGGUGGAGAGAGCCUUGAAGAUUACAGAUGACCAGGCUGCAGACUUAGAGUCAAAGACAAGAAAGCAGGCCAAGUGUAGCUUGUGGCAUGAAGAGAGGAGAUGGAGGUUGACAGCAUCUCAGUUUGGGACAAUUUGCAAAUGCACUACAAGGAGAAACAAAACUAAACUCUGUGAGGCAUGGGUUACAGCAGGAACCCAAAGCUAUUGCCAAACUUGAGAUAGCCUGUAAUGUUCAUGUUCACAGUUGUGGAAUGUUUGUUGACUCUGAACUCCCUUUCCUUGCAGCAACCCCAGACGGUGUCAUUGAUUCUAACACCAUUGUUGAGGUUAAAUGUCCUUACAGUCAUUGCUCCUGGGAAACUCUUUCCUUAUCUUUGUUAGAGAAAUGGCUCAUGCAACUGAGAGAAAACAGUAAUUACUACUUUUAGGUGCAGGGUCAAAUGUAUCUAUCAAAGCGAAAAUACUGCUUAUUUGCUGUUUCUACGUUCAAAGACUUCUUUGUUCAGAAAAUAUCACUCGAUGAGGAAUACUGUACAGGAAGUUUGAUUCCCAGACUGUCAUUAUUCUUUGAGUCUUUCCUCAAGCCUUACAUUGCUACUCACUGCAUUUGUUAAGAUUCACAAACAGACAUCCUUUUGUUGAUUAAUACAUCCAUGUGAAGACUGUAUCUAAAAAG